Molecule: long non-coding RNA, 1712 nt
Organism: Cyprinus carpio carpio
Lineage: Eukaryota; Metazoa; Chordata; Actinopteri; Cypriniformes; Cyprinidae
Source: Ensembl
UUUAACUGUGAUGAAUUAAAUAAAGUAUAAUUGUUUCAUUAGGUAAUUAUUGUUAUGAAAAAGUGACUGCAAUUCAGCAUUCAUGCAUAAGGUUCCCAUUUAUUUGACUGAUUUUGCCUGUCUGUUAAAUGUUUUUUGUAGUUGUUUUUGCUGCUGCUGCUGCUGCUGCUGCUGCUGUUGUUGUUGACGACCAGACACACUGAUGUUUUUAGCACCUCGACAGACUAAACUAUAGUGUUGUUUAAAGAAGGUAAUAAAUUAACCUUAUGAAUACUAAGAAAAGAAAUCAUAAAUUUCACUAUUACAGCAGACACUUAAAUACGAAGACUGUAUUUUUAAGUGGAGGUGCUUGCUGGAAACAAGCUCUGCUAGACAAUGAAUGAAUCUAACUUCAGUAACAGUUUUUAAUGCAGAUGAACUAAAACAUCACCCUGAAAAAAAUAUGCUGUUUGUUUGGGCUUUGUUCUGUUGUCUUGCAUGUAAGUAUCCAAUUUCAACCCUGUUUUGGCCACUUAUUUAUAUGUCUUUGUAGUCAAAAUAUAGUCAAAUGUUCAUAAUCUCAUCUGCAGGUGUCAGUUUUGGGAAUGUCAUCACACCAGUCCAAACAGAGGUGUUUGGGACAGAGGGGGUCAAUAUAACUCUGUCCUAUAACUACUCCUCAGCAGUUAGUCUGCAGUGGUAUCGCCAAUAUCACGGUUCAGCCCCUGAAUACCUUUUAGUCAUAUUCCAUGCUACAGGGAAAGUUUCACAAAAGUCCAAAUUUGUAGAACUAGAUCCUCGAUUCUCUGUACAACUGAACGCAAAGAAAACCCAUGUGGAUCUGGAGGAAUAAAACAGAAGGAGGUGUAAAUAAACCACACCCACACUGCAGUUUCACAACAAGAUACUACAACCAUACAUUUACCUUUACUUCAUUUCAUAAAGCAAGUUUGUAAACCUUCCCAACAUGGAGAAAUGCUUUCUUCUGAUUCUAAUAUCCACUCCAGGUAUUUUAUCUGACAGCAUCCAACCAAAAGACGAGGAAACUAAUAUUUAUAGAAAAGAAGAAGAGCAUGUAACACUGAGCUGCACUUAUGAUACAAGCAGCAGUGAUGUCGAUCUGUACUGGUACAGACAAUAUCCGAACAGAGAACCAGAAUUUUUACUGUGGAAAGGUGCCCGUUUACGGAGCAGUUAUGAAUAUAUACCAGAUACUCAGUUUCAGAUGACUACAUCACAAACAUCCACUGAACUCUCUAUUAAGAGUGUAACUCUGGCAGAUUCGGCUCUCUAUUAUUGUGCUCUAAGAUUAGCAGCCCAGUGAUACAAAAUGCCUGAGAAGCUUUACAAAAACUCACAUUUAGUUUUUGCCUUAAAAAAAAAAUCAAAUAAAAAUGUAACCACAAUCAUAUCUUGUGUAAAGCCACAACACUUCUUUCACAAUAUGAUAUUUGUAACAUCUGCUGGAAGAAAAGGAAAUGUGUGCUUAGGGGGAAAAUAUACAAGAAGAUGAUAAUUCAUUGUUUUUGUUAUUCCUUAAUAAACCUUCCUACAAAAGAACUUCUAAAAAUCUAGUUUUCCAUGGGAAAAAAAACUUUUUUAGGUCAGCACAUACUGUAGGUCUACACCGACUAAAAUUAAGAGAGCAAAAUACAGAACAUCAAACGUUUCCAUGACUGUAAUCUCAGGCUAUUAGUGGUACUACAGUAAAAUUUCUGACCUGUAUGUUCAUA